RNAcentral lists this transfer RNA (85 nucleotides) under compost metagenome. RNAcentral's name for it is "tRNA-Leu". It matches the Rfam family "tRNA". Rfam says of the family: Transfer RNA (tRNA) molecules are approximately 80 nucleotides in length. Their secondary structure includes four short double-helical elements and three loops (D, anti-codon, and T loops). The record is from RNAcentral.
GCGAGCUUGGCGGAAUUGGCAGACGCGCUGGAUUCAAAAUCCUGUUCCGAAAGGAGUUCGGGUUCGACCCCCGAAGUUCGCACCA